Molecule: ribosomal RNA, 270 nt
Filed under: uncultured archaeon
Lineage: Archaea
Description: partial 16S ribosomal RNA
Rfam family: Archaeal small subunit ribosomal RNA
Source: RNAcentral
CUGCAGCUCAAGUGGUGGCCGCUAUUAUUGGGCCUAAAACGUCCGUAGCCGGUUUAGUAAAUGCCUGGGUAAAUCGUGUAGCUUAACUAUACGACUUCCGGGUAGACUGCUAGACUUGGGACCGGGAGAGGCUAGAGGUACUCCUGGGGUAGAGGUGAAAUUCUGUAAUCCUAGGGGGACCACCAGUGGCGAAGGCGUCUAGCUAGAACGGGUCUGACGGUGAGGGACGAAGCCCUGGGGCGCAAACCGGAUUAGAUACCCGCGUAGUCC